GACGAACGCUGGCGGCGUGCUUAACACAUGCAAGUCGAACGGAAAGGCCCUGCUUUUGUGGGGUGCUCGAGUGGCGAACGGGUGAGUAACACGUGAGUAACCUGCCCUUGACUUUGGGAUAACUUCAGGAAACUGGGGCUAAUACCGGAUAGGAGCUCCUGCUGCAUGGUGGGGGUUGGAAAGAUUCGGCGGUUGGGGAUGGACUCGCGGCUUAUCAGCUUGUUGGUGGGGUAGUGGCUUACCAAGGCUUUGACGGGUAGCCGGCCUGAGAGGGUGACCGGCCACAUUGGGACUGAGAUACGGCCCAGAAUCCUACGGGAGGCAGCAGUGGGGAAUAUUGCACAAUGGGCGGAAGCCUGAUGCAGCAACGCCGCGUGCGGGAUGACGGCCUUCGGGGUGUAAACCGCUUUCGCCUGUGACGAAGCGUGAGUGACGGUAAUGGGUAAAGAAGCACCGGCUAACUACGUG
This 468-nucleotide ribosomal RNA is filed under the name uncultured bacterium. RNAcentral describes it as "partial 16S ribosomal RNA". It matches the Rfam family "Bacterial small subunit ribosomal RNA", at positions 28 to 507 of the family's 1533-position model. The record is from RNAcentral.